GACGAACGCUGGCGGCGUGCUUAACACAUGCAAGUGGAGCGACGAACCGGUCUUCGGACCGGGGCAGAGCCGCGAACGGGUGAGUAACACGUGGGUAACCCACCCCGAUGACCGGGACAACCCGAGGAAACUCGGGCUAAUACCGGAUGAGCUCUCAUCUCUUGAGAGAUGUGAGGAAAGAUAGCUUCGGCCUUCGCAUCGGGACGGGCCCGCGGCCCAUUAGCUUGUUGGUGGGGUAACGGCCUACCAAGGCGACGAUGGGUAGCUGGUCUGAGAGGACGAUCAGCCACACUGGGACUGAGACACGGCCCAGACUCCUACGGGAGGCAGCAGUGGGGAAUCUUGCACAAUGCGCGAAAGCGUGAU
This 366-nucleotide ribosomal RNA is filed under the name uncultured bacterium. Its description in RNAcentral is "bacterial SSU rRNA". It matches the Rfam family "Bacterial small subunit ribosomal RNA", at positions 28 to 387 of the family's 1533-position model. The record is from RNAcentral.